AUGCUCCUAACAAAGCCCCACCCCGCCCUCGUCCUCCCCUCCGCGUCCCUCCCAAAUCCUAACCUAAACGCCGCCCGCGUCCGGCCCCUCGCCUCGUCCGCGCCCCAUGGACGCCGCGGGCUCCGCGUCUCGGCCUCCUCCUCCCUGGCGCCAGCGCAGGCCGCGUCCGCGGCGCUGAACCGUGUGGACGUCCUGUCGGAGGCGCUCCCCUUCAUCCAGCGGUUCAAGGGCAAGACGGUGGUGGUGAAGUACGGCGGCGCGGCCAUGAAGUCGCCGGAGCUGCAGGCGUCCGUGAUCCGCGACCUGGUCCUCCUCUCCUGCGUCGGCCUGCGCCCCGUGCUCGUGCACGGCGGCGGCCCGGAGAUCAACUCCUGGCUGCAGCGCGUCGGCGUCGAGCCGCAGUUCCGCAACGGCCUCCGCGUCACCGACGCGCUCACCAUGGAGGUCGUGGAGAUGGUGCUGGUCGGCAAGGUCAACAAGCAGCUCGUCUCCCUCAUCAGCCUCGCCGGCGCCACCGCCGUCGGCCUCUGCGGCAAGGACGCGCGCCUCCUCACUGCGCGCCCUUCCCCCGACGCGGCAGCCCUUGGGUUCGUCGGCGAGGUCACGCGCGUCGACCCCUCGGUGCUCCACCCGAUCAUCGCCUCCGGCCACAUCCCGGUCAUCGCCACCGUGGCUGCCGACGAGACCGGGCAGGCCUAUAACAUCAACGCCGACACUGCGGCGGGGGAGAUCGCAGCUGCCAUUGGCGCCGAGAAGCUGCUUCUGAUCACCGACGUGUCCGGCAUACUCGCGGACCGGGAUGACCCCGGUAGCCUGGUGAAGGAGAUUGAUAUCGCCGGCGUACGGCAGAUGGUGGCCGAGGGGAAAGUGGGUGGGGGCAUGAUACCCAAGGUGGAGUGCUGCGUGCGCGCACUGGCGCAGGGCGUGCACACGGCCAGCAUCAUUGACGGCCGCGUCCCGCACUCUCUCCUGCUCGAAAUCCUCACCGACGAGGGCACCGGCACCAUGAUCACCGGCUGA
This 1020-nucleotide ribosomal RNA is filed under the name Triticum aestivum (bread wheat). Its description in RNAcentral is "partial small subunit ribosomal RNA". The record is from RNAcentral. Lineage: Eukaryota; Viridiplantae; Streptophyta; Magnoliopsida; Poales; Poaceae.